GACGAACGCUGGCGGUGUGCUUAACACAUGCAAGUCGAACGGUAAGGCCCUUUCGGGGGUACACGAGUGGCGAACGGGUGAGUAACACGUGAGUAACCUGCCCUCAUCUCUGGGAUAACAGUCGGAAACGGUUGCUAAUACUGGAUAUGAGCUUGCAAGGCAUCUUGUGGGUUGGAAAGAUUUUUUUGGUUGGGGAUGGACUCGCGGCCUAUCAGCUUGUUGGUGAGGUAGUGGCUCACCAAGGCUUCGACGGGUAGCCGGCCUGAGAGGGCGACCGGCCACAUUGGGACUGAGAUACGGCCCAAACUCCUACGGGAGGCAGCAGUGGGGAAUAUUGCACAAUGGACGGAAGUCUGAUGCAGCAACGCCGCGUGCGGGAUGACGGCCUUCGGGUUGUAAACCGCUUUCAAUUGUGACGAAGCUUUUUUGUGACGGUAGCAGUAGAAGAAGCACCGGCUAACUACGUGCCAGCAGCCGCGGUGAUACGUAGGGUGCGAGCGUUGUCCGGAUUUAUUGGGCGUAAAGAGCUUGUAGGCGGUUUGUCGCGUCGGGAGUGAAAACUUGGGGCUUAACCCUGAGCUUGCUUUCGAUACGGGCUGACUUGAGGGAGGUAGGGGAGAAUGGAAUUCCUGGUGGAGCGGUGGAAUGCGCAGAUAUCAGGAGGAACACCGGUGGCGAAGGCGGUUCUCUGGACCCUUCCUGACGCUGAGAAGCGAAAGCGUGGGGAGCGAACAGGCUUAGAUACCCUGGUAGUCCACGCCGUAAACGGUGGGUACUAGGUGUGGGGGACAUUCCACGUUCUCCGUGCCGUAGCUAACGCAUUAAGUACCCCGCCUGGGGAGUACGGCCGCAAGGCUAAAACUCAAAGGAAUUGACGGGGCCCCGCACAAGCGGCGGAGCAUGCGGAUUAAUUCGAUGCAACGCGAAGAACCUUACCUGGGUUUGACAUAUGCCGGAAGCGUUCAGAGAUGGGCGUGCCUUUUUGGUCGGUUUACAGGUGGUGCAUGGCUGUCGUCAGCUCGUGUCGUGAGAUGUUGGGUUAAGUCCCGCAACGAGCGCAACCCUCGUCCAAUGUUGCCAGCGGGUUAUGCCGGGGACUCAUUGGAGACCGCCGGGGUCAACUCGGAGGAAGGUGGGGAUGACGUCAAGUCAUCAUGCCCCUUAUGUCCAGGGCUUCACGCAUGCUACAAUGGCCGGUACAAAGAGCUGCGAGCCUGUGAGGGUGAGCGAAUCUCGGAAAGCCGGUCUCAGUUCGGAUUGGGGUCUGCAACUCGACCCCAUGAAGUCGGAGUCGCUAGUAAUCGCAGAUCAGCAACGCUGCGGUGAAUACGUUCCCGGG
RNAcentral lists this ribosomal RNA (1339 nucleotides) under uncultured bacterium. Its description in RNAcentral is "16S ribosomal RNA". It matches the Rfam family "Bacterial small subunit ribosomal RNA", at positions 28 to 1378 of the family's 1533-position model. The record is from RNAcentral.